Molecule: ribosomal RNA, 391 nt
Filed under: uncultured bacterium
Lineage: Bacteria
Description: partial 16S ribosomal RNA
Rfam family: Bacterial small subunit ribosomal RNA
Source: RNAcentral
CCUACGGGAGGCAGCAGUGGGGAAUAUUGCGCAAUGGGCGAAAGCCUGACGCAGCGACGCCGCGUGAGGGAUGAAGGUCUUCGGAUCGUAAACCUCUGUCAGCAGGGAAGAACGGUCACUGUGCUAAUCAGCAGUGAAUUGACGGUACCCGCAAAGGAAGCACCGGCUAACUCCGUGCCAGCAGCCGCGGUAAUACGGAGGGUGCGAGCGUUAAUGGGAAUUACUGGGCGUAAAGCGCUCGUAGGCGGUAUGUCAAGUCAAGGGUGAAAUCCCCGGGCUCAACGUGGGAACUGCCUGUGAAACGGGCAAAGGGGAGAGUGUGAGAGGAUAGUGGAAUUGCAGGGGUAGGAGUGAAAGCGGUAGAUAUCUGGGGGAACAUCAGUGGGGAAGG